RNAcentral lists this ribosomal RNA (253 nucleotides) under uncultured bacterium. Its description in RNAcentral is "partial 16S ribosomal RNA". It matches the Rfam family "Bacterial small subunit ribosomal RNA", at positions 524 to 776 of the family's 1533-position model. The record is from RNAcentral.
UACGUAGGGGGCAAGCGUUGUCCGGAUUUAUUGGGCGUAAAGAGCGUGUAGGCGGUUAGGUAGGUCCGUUGUGAAAACUCGAGGCUCAACCUCGAGACGCCGAUGGAAACCAUCUAACUAGAGUCCGGAAGAGGAGAGUGGAAUUCCUGGUGUAGCGGUGAAAUGCGCAGAUAUCAGGAAGAACACCCGUGGCUAAGGCGGCUCUCUAGUACGGUACCGACGCUGAGACGCGAAAGCGUGGGGAGCGAACAGG